GGCGGCGUGCCUAAUACAUGCAAGUCGAGCGCGAGAUUGAGGAGCUUGCUCCUCAUGAUCGAGCGGCGGACGGGUGAGUAACACGUAGGCAACCUACCCUUGAGAUUGGGAUAACUACCGGAAACGGUAGCUAAUACCGGAUACGACUUUCCUGCAUAAGCAGUUAAGUUUAAAGGCGGAUUUAUCUGCCGCUCAUGGAUGGGCCUGCGGUGCAUUAGCUAGUUGGUGAGAUAGUGGCUCACCAAGGCGACGAUGCAUAGCCGACCUGAGAGGGUGAUCGGCCACACUGGGACUGAGACACGGCCCAGACUCCUACGGGAGGCAGCAGUAGGGAAUCUUCCGCAAUGGACGCAAGUCUGACGGAGCAACGCCGCGUGAGUGAUGAAGGGUUUCGGCUCGUAAAACUCUGUUGUUAAGGAGGAACACUUGAGGUAGUAACUGGCCUUGAGAUGACGGUACUUAACCAGAAAGCCACGGCUAACUACGUG
Molecule: ribosomal RNA, 488 nt
Filed under: uncultured Jeotgalicoccus sp.
Lineage: Bacteria; Bacillati; Bacillota; Bacilli; Caryophanales; Staphylococcaceae
Description: bacterial SSU rRNA
Rfam family: Bacterial small subunit ribosomal RNA
Source: RNAcentral